This 77-nucleotide transfer RNA is filed under the name Coriobacteriia bacterium. RNAcentral's name for it is "tRNA-Phe". It matches the Rfam family "tRNA". Rfam says of the family: Transfer RNA (tRNA) molecules are approximately 80 nucleotides in length. The record is from RNAcentral. Lineage: Bacteria; Bacillati; Actinomycetota; Coriobacteriia.
GGCCAGGUAGCUCAGUCUGGUAGAGCAGGGGACUGAAAAUCCCCGUGUCGGCGGUUCAAGUCCGUCCCUGGCCACCA